Molecule: small nucleolar RNA, 131 nt
Filed under: Oryzias sinensis (Chinese medaka)
Lineage: Eukaryota; Metazoa; Chordata; Actinopteri; Beloniformes; Adrianichthyidae
Description: Small nucleolar RNA U3 (ENSOSIG00000001306.1)
Rfam family: Small nucleolar RNA U3
About the family: Small nucleolar RNAs (snoRNAs) are involved in the processing and modification of rRNA in the nucleolus. There are two main classes of snoRNAs: the box C/D class, and the box H/ACA class.
Source: Rfam by way of RNAcentral
UCCAUGAUGAUGAAUGAAGAUGUUUCCUUCAGAGCAGGAAGCUGGUGAGAAGAUGAGAAUCUUCUUCACUGAUGAAGACUGUUCAGUGUUUCUGGAUGUGACACUGAAGGAGGAAACAUUGUCUGAGUGGC